AUGAUUACAUCCCUAAAACCUUUUUCUUUUGUUCAGAGUGCCUCCCUGUCAUCCCUCCCUUCACCUAAACGGCCAAGGUCAGCCGUGCCAAAGACAUACCCCUCUGGUACGGUCCCAUCCCCAGUGUAUGAUGAUGAGGACAUGACCCCUCGUGGCCUGCUCAUUGGGAUCAUUCAGAUGGAGAACAAAGCAUCGCUGCUGAUGUCUGGUCAGCCUGCACUUCAAGAAUCAGAGCUGAAUCCAGCCGACACCGGUGUGUCCAGCGCUGGAGAGAGAACGUCAGUAAUCCUCUUCAUGUUGUGCUCAUGUGUCUGUGUUUUCCUCAGUGGAGCUCUGUCUGGAGUGGAGCGGUCUGAUCUGACUCUGAACACUGAACUCCUGACGCAUGUAGUCAGAGGACCGAGCCGCAGGAAACCACCACAUGCCUUCAGUGCAUCAGCGUUCGAGAAACUGUUAGAUCAACAGCUAGGUGCUCACCCAUUCUCACCUGUUAUUUGUGUUCGCAAGAUUCUCACCUGUCAUUUGUGUUCGCAAGGUGGAAUAUUGGCACAUAUUUUGUCACAUGUUCAAAAAGCCACUCAGUAUCAUCUAACCCUUUUUCCAUAUUCUCAGACAACACAGAGGAUGACUCGCAUGUCUCUCAUAAAAGUUACAUCUCUGAGAAGAAAGCGGAUGCAUCUCAAGAUUUAGAUUGGUCUUCUGGCUCAAAAAGGUUAAUGCUUUCUUUAAAGCUAUUUUUAAGAUCUCUCUUGAGUUUUUAGUCAAAAUAAGAGCUCCAUGAUUUUAACUUAAGAAAUCCAUAAAUACUUAAAAAAAGAAAAUUAUUAAACAUUUUAGUAAUAUAUUUCUGUAUUGAUUAGACAUAUAAUACAAUAUUUUUAAAUACAAUAAUAGUAGUGAUAAUAAUUCUAAAUUAAAGUUGAAUGGAGAAAAGCUAAUUUAAUAUGCAAUCUAGAAACGUGUUUGCAUGAUGUGUCCACUAGGUGGCAGUCACACUCCAUCACAGAGGUGUUUAAUAAGAGUGAAAGUGGUGUUGAGUUAUACUCCAGUAUUCGUUCUAAAAUGGAAAUUUCCAAUCUUGGAUGCUGAUUGGUCAAUUCUACAUUCCAAAAUGCACCUCAUGGUAUUCUCUAGUCUAUAUAGUAUAUCAUAUUACGUAAUAUAGAUCAUAUCAUUUAGCUUGGCUUAUUUAUGAUUAGAUCUCAUGGAAGGUUUACACUUCAUUCAUUUGCUUAAUUUUCUUUGUCAGGAUUGUUUUUAAACGUAACUAAAACAUAAUAUGUUAAAAUAAUAUUGUUAUGGGUUACCAGAAGUAAGUAUUAUUUUACUCUUAAUUAAUGCUUUCCCCCCUAUCCAGCCAAACCUUGAGCUCUUAUUCACAAUGUAUCAGCAUCUCUUGCUUAAAUAAUCACUUUAAUGGGACUCAAUGAUGUAGAGUUUAGGUGAAAUUCGAACAAAUUAACUAAUGCACCUUUUCUUAAUCUUUCCCUCCAGCAUUUUUCCCUUCACUAAUGACCGAAGCAGACGUGUGUGUGAGUUUUACAAGGCCAAGUCUGUUUUUGAGAUUUGCAGCUCCAAAAAGAUGCUGGAUUCCCGUUUCUUUCGAAAACUCUUUCUAUAUCUCUUGCCUUUAUUUAGUGUCAGACUGGAUUUAGAUUUAGAUCUUUCUAUUCCAGAUCCGGCUCAUGUCACACACCGUUUUCAGUGUGUUGUCACUAUAGAUCGAGAUCCAGAUGUUGGGUCCCUGCGGCCUUCCUCCUCCUCUUCUUCUUCACCUCCUCUUGCAAGCAGUGACCCUUCCACAUUCUCCACAGUAUGAGUCAGCAGUGCUGCGGCUCCAGCAAACUCCAUCUAUCAUGUUGAGUUUCAUUACAAUGUAGCACUUAAACCAAACAUUGCUUGAAAACGAACUUCUGACAAGCCAAUCUGUUCUCUGUCUCCUUCAUAAAACCACAAACGUGGGUCACACAGCACUGUGACAGCCAGAACGCUCACGUCAUCUAGUGCAUGACUCACCGGGUGAGAAAUGAUCCUCAGUGCGGCUGGAUCUGUUAGCGAACACAUGUGUGAAAUUAGCUGACUUAUUGUAUAAGAUUGGGACUUAUUGUGUAAAAAUGAAAAACCAUUGAUCUAUCUUUCAAAGCCAAAGCCAAUAGUCCCGUUUACUUUCUCUAUACAGUAAUUCUAAAGAAAAACAGCAUCUUUGAUUAAAGCUGCAGUCGGUAACUUUUGACGCUCUAGCGGUUAAUAAACAGAACUGCUUGCGUCUUGCGGAAGAACAUCGUAGCCGGAACUACUUCUCUCUGUUUAUGUCUAUGUAGAAUCACAAAGUACUGAGUUACUCCGCCGCGGUACCCCGAAGCAAUCUAAAAUAGUCCGAAUAUAAACACUUAUUAUAGGUGCACCCUAGUGAUUCAGGACAAGCCAAAAACACGGUUUGGAAAAUGGAUUCAUGUUGUACUCGCUUAUUAUAUACAUUUUUCUACAUUUUGAACACAAACAAAGUUACGGACCGCAGCUCUGAUUGGUUGUUUCUUACCGGGAGCGAUGGAGUUUCUGCAAAUGACAAUAGGACACUGGGAGGAGCCAGAGGAGCUUGGUUUUUUCACAGAUUAUCUGUCUCAUAUUCUACUGUCAGGACAUAAUGACAGGUUUAACAAAUAUGUAAAAAAUAUAUUUUUACAAAAGUUACCUACUGCAGCUUUAAAUGUAACUCGCUCCGCUUCUGAACAGCUGACAUCAUGGAGCCCUUUUUUUUAGCCCCUCCCCUUUAACUACAUGCCAAACAGAGACAACUGUAACCAAUUCCUGAAGGAAAAAAAGAGUUUUUUCAUGAGGAGUAAAGAGAUAUAUCACAUUAUGUGAUUAAAAAAGUUUGUACUGUAGAUACUUCAUGUUGACUACCAAUGUCUGUUUUGCAGGUAAGUAUCGUACACAUUUAGACUUCAACCCUAAUCAAACACACCUGAACCAGCUAAUUAAGGUCUCACUAGGAAUACUAGAAACUUCCAGGCAGGUGCGUUGAGGAAAACUGGAGCUAAACUCUGCAGAACUGAGUUUGGAGACCCCUGAUUUAUGUCAUUCUCUAUUGGUGAGAUGUGACAUCAGUCUGAAAAGCGUAGAAAAGACAUUAGCAGUCUGUCCAGGUAUCUGUCGUAAAUCUCAAAGUUUGAAUGGUCAAAACGAACAAGUUGUGGGGUCUCUCGUUCGUGGUUGGUCUCUAGGCGAGAUGUUUUCAUGUUUUUCUGUAUCUGUUUCCGCGGUGUUGUGUGAAUGUUAUCUGUUCUGGCUGCAGGAGAAUUUUCCGUGUAACUGGCUCUUUUCUUUUCCGUUCCUGCCAGAAGUUGGACCCAGCAGACCCAAAACCAAUUUCAUCAUCACUGCGGGACUGAGUCACACUGCUAAAGAGAGUGAGAGAUGAUCUGCUUGGCCAAAAAUACAUGAAUACUACACACCAGAUGGGAAUAAAGUGGAAAGUAAAUAGGAAAACAGAACGAAGGACAAAGAUGUACAAGGUUCAAGAAAACUCGCUUUCUGGUCUGACUUGGACACACAGGCAAACCCACUCCUGUUUUCUUUAGAAUAUGCAAUCUAGUUAAUCAUACAUGCUACAGGCAACAUUAUCUAAUGCAAUCUAUCAGUUUAAUAUGGUUUUAAUCACAUAUUUUUUCUAGGUUUCUGGCGAAUGGACCAUGACAUUUAAAAUCCCAAGUCUCAAAAACCGCAAAGACGAGUUAUUUCCAGAGAAGGUGAGGGUUAGAACUAUGUUUCCCAGAGCACAAUGUGACCUCUGUUCAAUGGGCGCACUUUGUAGUGUCCAAAACCUCAUUUUGAGUCUUUAUACAGAAUGUUUCCUUUAAUAAAGAUGCCACGGUCCGGAUCCUCACAGAAUCCCUCUCGCUGGUCCAGGUCUGGAACAUUCCAGAACAUUCUUUUACCUUUUCCAUUUUGAG
RNAcentral lists this long non-coding RNA (3953 nucleotides) under Carassius auratus (goldfish). RNAcentral describes it as "lncRNA (ENSCARG00000030887.1)". Lineage: Eukaryota; Metazoa; Chordata; Actinopteri; Cypriniformes; Cyprinidae. The record is from RNAcentral.